GCUUUUAUAUUAUUGUAUAGGUUUUUGCUCAUGCACCAUGGUUGUCUGAGCAUGCAGCAUGCUUGUCUGCUCAUACGCCAUGGUUCCUGAGCAGGAGCCUUCAUUAACUACUGCU
This 115-nucleotide microRNA precursor is filed under the name Marmota monax (woodchuck). The stretch from base 17 to 102 matches the Rfam family "mir-767 microRNA precursor family". The record is from RNAcentral. Lineage: Eukaryota; Metazoa; Chordata; Mammalia; Rodentia; Sciuridae.